GUUUCCUGGGUUGUGUGAAUUAUGGGGGUGGAGAAGCAUACAAGCUGACAUUAGGAAAAGGAACCUUGCUGGUGAUCAAGCCAGAUGUUACUCCAUCUCCUUCAGUCUACAGGCUGAUCUCUGAAGAUGAUGAGGAUUUGGAAAUGUGCCUUAUCACAGAUUACUCCCCUGAAAAGCUUACUCUUAACUGGGCUGAUAAGCAAACAAAUGCUGUUGUGGAGGUGGCAACAUCUGAGAACAAACAUGAAGCGAGCUACCUGUCAACCUACUGGGCCAAGAAAGAUGAAAUGCAGUGUGCUGCAAAUCACGAGGGCUUUGGAGAACUGGAGGGCGAGGAUCCUGAAAGUGGUGCCAGCACUGUCUGUGUUACAGGGGUGUCUCUAUAUUUCAGGACAGAUGAAAACCUGAACAUGCUGUCUUUAUCACAGCUGGGCCUGAAAAUAAUUUUAAUGAAAGGAAUAAUUUUUAAUGUGCUGAUGACGAUGUUUAUGUGGAAAAAAAAGAAUGAAAGUAACCAGACGAUGCAGUCCUGA
Fulmarus glacialis (Northern fulmar) is the source of this 533-nucleotide non-coding RNA. The record is from the annotation of a RefSeq genome assembly. Lineage: Eukaryota; Metazoa; Chordata; Aves; Procellariiformes; Procellariidae.